GAAGGUUCCAGUUUCCCUCAAAGGCUUCCAAUAUCUCCAUUGGAGCCCGCGAGGGAUACUGAAGUCUU
RNAcentral lists this microRNA precursor (68 nucleotides) under Theobroma cacao (cacao). RNAcentral describes it as "pre miRNA MIR477". The record is from RNAcentral. Lineage: Eukaryota; Viridiplantae; Streptophyta; Magnoliopsida; Malvales; Malvaceae.